GAAUAACACGAGGAAACUUGUGCUAAUACCUCAUAAGUCUUUACGGAGAAAGCUUUAUGCGCCAUAGGAUGAGCCUGCAUUUGAUUAGUUUGUUGGUGGGGUAAUGGCCUACCAAGACUUUGAUCAAUAGCUGAUCUGAGAGGAUGAUCAGCCACAUUGGGACUGAGACACGGCCCAAACUCCUACGGGAGGCAGCAGUAGGGAAUAUUGCACAAUGGAGGAAACUCUGAUGCAGCGAUGCCGCGUGAGUGAAGAAGGCCUUUGGGUUGUAAAGCUCUUUCGUCGGGGAAGAAAAUGACUGUACCCGAAUAAGAAGGUCCGGCUAACUUCGUGCCAGCAGCCGCGGUAAUACGAAGGGACCUAGCGUAGUUCGGAAUUACUGGGCUUAAAGAGUUCGUAGGUUGUUAAAAAAGUUGGUGGUGAAAUCCCAGAGCUUAACUCUGGAACUGCCAUCAAAACUUUUUAGCUAGAGUAUGAUAGAGGAAAGCAGAAUUUCUAGUGUAGAGGUGAAAUUCGUAGAUAUUAGAAAGAAUACCAAUUGCGAAGGCAGCUUUCUGGAUCAUUACUGACACUGAGGAACGAAAGCAUGGGUAGCGAAGAGGAUUAGAUACCCUCGUAGUCCAUGCCGUAAACGAUGUGUGUUAGACGUUGGGAAUUUAUUUUCAGUGUCGCAGCGAAAGCAUUAAACACACCGCCUGGGGAGUACGACCGCAAGGUUAAAACUCAAAUGAAUUGACGGGGACCCGCACAAGUAGUGGAGCAUGUGGUUUAAUUCGAAGAUACGCGCAGAACCUUACCAACACUUGACAUGUUCGUCGCGACUUUAAGAGAUUAAAGUUUUCGGUUCGGCCGGACGAAACACAGGUGCUGCAUGGCUGUCGUCAGCUCGUGUCGUGAGAUGUUGGGUUAAGUCCCGCAACGAGCGCAACCCUCACUUUUAGUUGCCAUCAUUUAGUUGGGCACUCUGAAAGAACUGCCAGUGAUAAGCUGGAGGAAGGUGGGGAUGACGUCAAGUCCUCAUGGCCCUUACGUGUUGGGCUACACACGUGCUACAAUGGCAUUUACAAUAGGAAGCAAGAUGGCGACGUCAAGCAAAUCCUAAAAAGAUGCCUCAGUUCGG
This 1120-nucleotide ribosomal RNA is filed under the name marine metagenome. RNAcentral's name for it is "bacterial SSU rRNA". It matches the Rfam family "Bacterial small subunit ribosomal RNA", at positions 141 to 1296 of the family's 1533-position model. The record is from RNAcentral.